UUAUUUUGUUUAAAAAACGUUACAUUCACUGACUAAUGAUGGGUUUGAGAAGUAGCCGCUGCAAGAGCGGCGCGAGUGUGCACUCUGACCGGCCCGAAGGCCGGCGUUCUCUAUGAUGAUCCUUCCGCAGGUUCACCUACGGAAA
RNAcentral lists this unclassified non-coding RNA (145 nucleotides) under uncultured fungus. RNAcentral describes it as "sequence contains ITS1". Lineage: Eukaryota; Fungi. The record is from RNAcentral.